CCUACGGACGCAGCAGUGGGGAAUAUUGCACAAUGGGGGAAACCCUGAUGCAGCGACGCCGCGUGAGUGAAGAAGUAUUUCGGUAUGUAAAGCUCUAUCAGCAAGGAAGAAAAUGACGGUACCUGACUAAGAAGCCCCGGCUAACUACGUGCCAGCAGCCGCGGUAAUACGUAGGGGGCAAGCGUUAUCCGGAUUUACUGGGUGUAAAGGGAGCGUAGACGGCGCGGCAAGUCUGAAGUGAAAGGCAGGGGCUUAACCCCUGAACUGCUUUGGAAACUGCCAUGCUAGAGUGCUGGAGAGGUAAG
RNAcentral lists this ribosomal RNA (305 nucleotides) under uncultured bacterium. RNAcentral's name for it is "bacterial SSU rRNA". It matches the Rfam family "Bacterial small subunit ribosomal RNA", at positions 338 to 661 of the family's 1533-position model. The record is from RNAcentral.